ACUGUGAGACAGGUGCUGCAUGGCUGUCGUCAGCUCGUGUUGUGAAAUGUUGGGUUAAGUCCCGCAACGAGCGCAACCCUUAUCCUUUGUUGCCAGCGGUCCGGCCGGGAACUCAAAGGAGACUGCCAGUGAUAAACUGGAGGAAGGUGGGGAUGACGUCAAGUCAUCAUGGCCCUUACGACCAGGGCUACACACGUGCUAC
Molecule: ribosomal RNA, 202 nt
Filed under: Salmonella enterica subsp. enterica serovar Infantis
Lineage: Bacteria; Pseudomonadati; Pseudomonadota; Gammaproteobacteria; Enterobacterales; Enterobacteriaceae
Description: partial 16S ribosomal RNA
Rfam family: Bacterial small subunit ribosomal RNA
Source: RNAcentral